AAAAGGGGAAUCAAAAUCCAGCUCACUCCCAAAAAAUAACUUUUGGUUACCCGGUCUUACUCCCUCUUCUUCUCCCAAAUCCCCCAAAUAAAAUUUAGCUACUAUUUUUCUCUCGAACUGAAAAAAAAAAAAGAAACUGAGAAAGGCACAAAGGGUUUUUGGAAGCAAAGUAGAGCGAAGAAAACCCUUCACUGUUAUUCACUCUGUUUUCGCCAAUGAAGUUCCUCUUUCGAUUCAUUUCUGGUCGUCAUAGGGGGACACCCUUGUACCAUGCAGCAAAAAGAGGCCUUCUAAAUACGCUAAUCUGUUGGUGAUGAAUGAUGAUUGUCAAACACCUCUAGAUGUUGCUAGGGUGAAAGGAAAUGUCAAUGUUGUAAAGGCAACUGAGGGUCAUAUAUGUUUAUUCUCUGGUUGGAUGCGGGAGUUUUACAGGCCAGGAUUUAUUGAAAUGUUUGUUCCUCAGUUGCUUUCAAGAAAAGUGCGGUUGGGUGGUUGUUCUACCAAUUGGUUCCCGAAAUAAUUCAAAACCUUUCAAGUUGGAGCUUGCCAUAUAUUCUACUUUGCAGAAUGUUAAGAUAUUUAAAAAUGUCAAAGGCUGUGAGGAUGCAAAACAAGAACUUGAAGAAGUAGUGGAGUAUCUCAAAAACCCAUCAAAGUUCACCAACCUAAGGGGGAAAUUGCCAAAGGGAAUCCUUUUGACAGGAACAUUUGGAACUAGAAAAACCUUGCUAGCCAAGGCUAUUGCGGGGGAAGCUGGGGUACCUUUCUUCUAUAGAGCAGGAUGAAAAACCACAAAAAAUAAAUUCAUUGAUUAUAUACAUAAAUUCCUUGAUCACCAUGUUUGCCAAAGACAAAAAAUGUGAUAAAGAUGAUUAUAUUCUUACCUACCAGGACAAAGAAGGAGAUUGGCUGUGCAGGCGAUAUUCCAUGGCACUGAGAAGCUUUCAGUAUUGACCUUGAAGCAAUUCAGACAAGGUUACAAAUGGCAAUGGAGGUUAGAGACAGUCUCGAGAUAGCUCACACUGCGGAGGACUUCUCUAAGUUAUAUGCAGGCAUUGCAAUACUUUGGAUUCAUCUAAGCUUGAACCAUCCCUCUGUUGUAUAUUGUUUCUUCUUCUUUUCUGAUAUUUUUUCUUUGAUUAAUGAGAGGUGAUGAUGAUUUGGCAUUCUUUUCUCACCAGGUUGAAUUUUGUUUUAGAAAUAGUAAUACUUUGUAAGUGUCUGUGUGUUUUUUAUGUAUUAAAUUACAUAUUGAAUCAAUGUUUAUGUAUUAAAUUUAAAUUUAUUAAUUUUUAUAUUUAGUUUUAAAGUUGAAAUUUUAAUAGAAAA
Molecule: RNA transcript, 1329 nt
Organism: Gossypium arboreum
Lineage: Eukaryota; Viridiplantae; Streptophyta; Magnoliopsida; Malvales; Malvaceae
Gene name: putative E3 ubiquitin-protein ligase XBAT35
Exons: 11
Source: RefSeq, a predicted model, not a curated record